This is a long non-coding RNA of Arabidopsis thaliana (thale cress), 345 nucleotides long. RefSeq annotates it as other RNA. The record is from RefSeq. NCBI's taxonomy places the organism in Eukaryota, Viridiplantae, Streptophyta, Magnoliopsida, Brassicales, Brassicaceae. The transcript has a single exon.
GCUUUUCGGUCAGGGAAGUAACCUGUCGGGUUGGAAAGAUUCUAACUUUAAUCACAACGGUCAACACAAGCAACCUCCUCCCAUAAAAAGAUAAUUAAACUCGUUGAUUGAUUUGAUUCCCCAAUUUUCUUUCUUUUUCUAGUCUCUCCUCUAAUUUAUAUAUAUAUGAUGAUGGAUUCUCUCUAUCAGCUUGUGUUGAAAAAUAGGAAAAGCAUAUUCUCUUUUCACUUGAUGCUUUUUUUAUUUUUCUCCUUUGGACCAAUUAAGGUAAAUCAUUCAAUUUGUAAUCUUGUUGAGAUAAAUAAUAGUCCCAUGUAUAAGUACCUCGGAUCUGAGCUUAUCGUU